Long non-coding RNA from Venturia canescens, 1121 nucleotides. RefSeq lists it as uncharacterized. The transcript is spliced from 3 exons. The record is from RefSeq and is a predicted model, not a curated record. Lineage: Eukaryota; Metazoa; Arthropoda; Insecta; Hymenoptera; Ichneumonidae.
CGUAGGUAGGCAGUAGUCGUAGCAGAGCCAGAGGAGAGCUGAGUAGCAGCGAUGGACUUGGUCGCUCUCAUCCAACGUGGCGACCACGUGUGCGAGACCGGCAAAGUGCGUCGAGCGCUCAGCCCCCGCUGCUGAUCGCAGGGUGAAGACGAAGAUAGAAGAAAAAUGAGCAGCAGAGGGAGGGGGAGAGGGAGAGAGACUCGUGUUGCCCACCGGCUCGAUCGGGGCCACGUGACUCUCUCGUAGCGAGCAUGAAUGAAGUCCGCGAGUCCCGGGACUCUCGCGAUGGAGGAGAGCCUGCAAACGUACCGUUUUCGUACAUUCACUCAGUCGGCUUCCAGCAGGCUAAGUACGAUUAAAAUAGUGCAGUAAACUCGAACCGGAAUACGCUGAAAAUGGGAACCACUAACGAGGGUUACUGCAGUAGCGGGAUUAGCAAUUUUCGUACUUGUGCAUGAAACGUGUCUUCGGUCCGGAUGAAUAUUUUUUGGAAAUUUUUCGAGGGAAAUGAGGAAAAAUAUCGACCAUUUUGGACGAACAUUGCGGAAUUGGAUGUUGAGAACGUGAAACGAUAUUCCACGACAGUCGGAUGUUUCGAUCAACGGCCAUGUGAUCACAAACACAAAGCCCCCGGGGCCCACAGACGACAGAGCUGUCAGAGUGUUUGCCCAGAGACUCUUCCAAGUUCCUUGGUACACGAUAAAAUGUAUUGAAAGUUAAAGACAACAGGGAAAAAUGAAAAGAUUCGUUUUGCCCGUAGAUCAUCAGAAAAAUGUUUUUUUUUUAAAUAAAAACGUCCAGGAGGUACUAAAAUUCGUUGAAUCGACCAAUCGAGUAGAUAAUUUUUUGUCUGCUCAUCUUUUUCAAAAACAACGAGAACAACGGUUUGUUUUAUUCCAUAAAUUUGUAAUGAGUUGAAAAAAAAAACGUAAAAAAGUUAAACUUAUCAGCGAGUAUACGAAAUAUGAUGGAAUACGCGUUGACGUACCGGAGAUAAAUUUGCUUGAGUCCGACACCACUGUUUACACAGCCGCCAGGCAGGUGAAAUUGUUCGCACAAUGCCGACCAUUCGUUUCUCGUGUUUACCUGUAACAAAAUAAUGUAUAUGAAUAAAACUGAUA